GACGAAGGAUUCAAGCGUUGUCCGGAUUUACUGGGUUUAAAGGGUGCGUAGGCGGACAUAUAAGUCAGUGGUGAAAUCCCGCAGCUCAACUGCGGAACUGCCAUUGAAACUGCAUUUCUUGAAUACGGUUGAGGUAGAUGGAAUGUAACAUGUAGCAGUGAAAUGCUUAGAUAUGUUACAGAACUCCGAUUGCGAAGGCAGUCUACUAAGCCGUUAUUGACGCUGAGGCACGAAAGCGUGGGGAGCGAACAGG
Molecule: ribosomal RNA, 253 nt
Filed under: uncultured bacterium
Lineage: Bacteria
Description: partial 16S ribosomal RNA
Rfam family: Bacterial small subunit ribosomal RNA
Source: RNAcentral